Molecule: non-coding RNA, 126 nt
Organism: Mycena rosella
Lineage: Eukaryota; Fungi; Basidiomycota; Agaricomycetes; Agaricales; Mycenaceae
Source: the annotation of a GenBank genome assembly
GGUUGGAUGGCCGAGCGGUCUAAGGCGCCAGAUUCAGGUUCAGCUUCGUUGCGAAGCACCGUUUCUCGAUUUGUAAUCAGAUUUCUGGUCAUUAAUUUGGCGUGGGUUCGAAUCCCACUCCAAUCA